UACAGAGGUCUCGAGCGUUGUUCGGAUUCAUUGGGCGUAAAGGGUGCGUAGGUGGCGCUGUAAGUCGGGUGUGAAAUCCUGAGGCUUAACCUCGGAACUGCAUUCGAUACUGCGGCGCUUGAGGACUGGAGAGGAGACUGGAAUUCAUGGUGUAGCAGUGAAAUGCGUAGAGAUCAUGAGGAAGACCAGUGGCGAAGGCGGGUCUCUGGACAGUUCCUGACACUGAGGCACGAAGGCUAGGGGAGCAAACGGG
RNAcentral lists this ribosomal RNA (253 nucleotides) under uncultured bacterium. Its description in RNAcentral is "partial 16S ribosomal RNA". It matches the Rfam family "Bacterial small subunit ribosomal RNA", at positions 524 to 776 of the family's 1533-position model. The record is from RNAcentral.